Molecule: transfer RNA, 68 nt
Filed under: Herbidospora solisilvae
Lineage: Bacteria; Bacillati; Actinomycetota; Actinomycetes; Streptosporangiales; Streptosporangiaceae
Description: Herbidospora sp. NEAU-GS84 tRNA-OTHER
Source: RNAcentral
GCAAGCUGAAACUGAAGCAUCACGACUGAACGACGGUGACAGCGCAGGUUCGAAUCCUGCCCCCUGCA